AUGUCCUUCAAUGGCACAUGUACUGAAAUUGAAAUGAUACAGAGAAGAUUAACAUGGCCCUUGCACAAGGGUGGUACUUUUGGAUGGGUUGCUCCCUAAAGGCAA
Small nuclear RNA from Hemicordylus capensis (graceful crag lizard), 105 nucleotides. The record is from RefSeq and is a predicted model, not a curated record. NCBI's taxonomy places the organism in Eukaryota, Metazoa, Chordata, Lepidosauria, Squamata, Cordylidae.